RNAcentral lists this unclassified non-coding RNA (257 nucleotides) under uncultured bacterium. RNAcentral describes it as "contains 16S-23S intergenic spacer region". It matches the Rfam family "Bacterial small subunit ribosomal RNA", at positions 524 to 776 of the family's 1533-position model. The record is from RNAcentral.
UACGAAGGGGGCUAGCGUUAUUCGUCUUUACUGGGCGUAAAGGGUAAGUAGGUUGUCUUGUAAGUUUCAAAGUAUAAACUAAGCUUAACUUAGAAGACUUUGCAAAGACUGCAAGUACUCAGAGGCUGCUAGAGGAUGAGUUGUAUUCUUGGUGUAAAGGUGAAAUUUUUGGAUAUCAAGAAGACAUUCAAUUGGCGAAAGCAACAAUCUAUUGUGAGGCCUGACGCUGAAUUACGUAAGCGUGGGGAGCAAACAGG